UGCAUCUAGAUUUCCGGUUGAUCCCGCCGGAGGUUACUGCUAUCGAGGUUCGACUAAGCCAUGCGAGUCGAAUGCCGCAAGGCAUGGCGUACUGCUCAGUAACACGUGGACAACCUACCCUGAGGACGGGUAUAAACCCGGGAAACUGGGUAUAAUCCCCGAUAGUCCUCGGCUGCUGGAAUGCACCGAGGACGAAAGCUCCGGCGCCUUAGGAUGGGUCUGCGGCCUAUCAGGUUGUAGUGGGUGUAACGUACCUACUAGCCUACGACGGGUACGGGUUGUGAGAGCAAGAGCCCGGAGAUGGAUUCUGAGACACGAAUCCAGGCCCUACGGGGUGCAGCAGGCGCGAAAACUUUACAAUGCUGGAAACAGCGAUAAGGGGACCUCGAGUGCCAGGUUACAAAUCUGGCUGUCGUGAUGCCUAAAAAGCAUUGCAUAGCAAGGGCCGGGCAAGACCGGUGCCAGCCGCCGCGGUAACACCGGCGGCUCGAGUGGUAACCGUUAUUAUUGGGUCUAAAGGGUCUGUAGCCGGCCGGAUAAGUCUCUUGGGAAAUCCAGCAGCCCAACUGUUGGGCUUUCAGGAGAUACUGUUCGGCUCGAGGCCGGGAGAGGUGAGAGGUACUUCAGGGGUAGGGGUGAAAUCUUGUAAUCCUUGAAGGACCACCAGUGGCGAAGGCGUCUCACCAGAACGGACCUGACGGCAAGGGACGAAAGCUAGGGGCACGAACCGGAUUAGAUACCCGGGUAGUCCUAGCCGUAAACGAUACUCGCUAGGUGUCGGCCACGGUGCGACCGUUGUCGGUGCCGUAGGGAAGCCGUGAAGCGAGCCACCUGGGAAGUGCGGCCGCAAGGCUGAAACUUAAAGGAAUUGGCGGGGGAGCACCACACGGUUGGAGCUUGCGGUUUAAUUGGAGUCAACGCCGG
This 924-nucleotide ribosomal RNA is filed under the name uncultured Methanosarcinales archaeon. RNAcentral's name for it is "bacterial SSU rRNA". It matches the Rfam family "Archaeal small subunit ribosomal RNA", at positions 1 to 921 of the family's 1478-position model. The record is from RNAcentral. Lineage: Archaea; Methanobacteriati; Methanobacteriota; Methanomicrobia; Methanosarcinales.